RNAcentral lists this transfer RNA (74 nucleotides) under Rhodospirillaceae bacterium. Its description in RNAcentral is "tRNA-Gln". It matches the Rfam family "tRNA". Rfam says of the family: Transfer RNA (tRNA) molecules are approximately 80 nucleotides in length. Lineage: Bacteria; Pseudomonadati; Pseudomonadota; Alphaproteobacteria; Rhodospirillales; Rhodospirillaceae. RNAcentral also lists the same sequence under 1 other name. The record is from RNAcentral.
UGGGGGAUCGUCUAACGGUAAGACGCUCGGCUCUGGACCGGGUAAUCGGGGUUCGAAUCCCUGUCCCCCAGCCA